Salmo salar (Atlantic salmon) is the source of this 54-nucleotide non-coding RNA. The record is from Rfam. NCBI's taxonomy places the organism in Eukaryota, Metazoa, Chordata, Actinopteri, Salmoniformes, Salmonidae.
UGCAAACAUGACUGUAAGUCGUUUUGGAUAAAAGUGUCUGCUAAAUCGCACACA